GAUGAGGAACGUAGCGAAAUGCGAUAAGUAGUGUGAAUUGCAGAAUUCAGUGAAUCAUCGAAUCUUUGAACGCACAUUGCGCCCGCCAGUAUUCUGGCGGGCAUGCCUGUUCGAGCGUCAUUUCAACCCUCAGGCCCCCAGUGCCUGGUGUUGGGGAUCGGCCCAGCCUUCCUGUAAGGCCGCCGGCCCCGAAAUCUAGUGGCGGUCUCGCUGUAGUCCUCCUCUGCGUAGUAGCACAACCUCGCAGUUGGAACGCGGCGGUGGCCAUGCCGUUAAACACCCCACUUCUGAAAGUUGACCUCGGAUCAGGUAGGAAUACCCGCUGAACUUAAGCAUAUCAAUAAGCGGAGGA
Molecule: unclassified non-coding RNA, 352 nt
Filed under: soil metagenome
Description: partial contains 5.8S ribosomal RNA, internal transcribed spacer 2, and large subunit ribosomal RNA
Rfam family: 5.8S ribosomal RNA (bases 1-120)
Source: RNAcentral